Long non-coding RNA from Eublepharis macularius, 609 nucleotides. RefSeq lists it as uncharacterized. Lineage: Eukaryota; Metazoa; Chordata; Lepidosauria; Squamata; Eublepharidae. The record is from RefSeq and is a predicted model, not a curated record. The transcript is spliced from 3 exons.
GGGCUUGCGGCGGGAAGGCUGAGGGAGCCUCGGAGGAGGUCGCCAUCAGCUCGGACGGCUCUUUCUGCCUGCAGCAGCUCACACUAACAGAAUGCUCUGAAGAGGAUUAUCAGUAUGAAGAGGGCUGUAAUUCCCCAACAAGAAGACAGAAGCCUGGGCUACAGUUGCUUUGAAUGAGUGAAAAAGGAUUCAACACUGCGUGGAACGUUGAACUGUUUUACCUUUUCAAAGACAUUGUUGAUCUACAGUUUUCUGAAUGGUUGCACUUAAUGAGCUAGUUUUUUUUUUAAGUUGUAUUCUAUUAGAAUGAAUUACGCAGAGGCUUCAUUUCUGUCUCUGUUUAUUGUACUCGGCCUGGAUAACCUCCAGCUGCUUCACCUUCGUUUUAGCUUCCUGCAGCUCCUGUAGAGUGAAUUCCACUUCCACCAGAUGUUGAUUUUCAGCCCUUUCCAAUUUGGUCUUCAGUGACUUCCCAUAACUUUGAUUUCAGAUCUCUUACUGUCAGUAAUUGCUUUCAUUAGCUGAAGCUCAUCUUCGUGCUCCCGUGAUGCUAUCUUUUCUUGCAGAGUACUGAUUUCUUUGAACAAUAAAAGAAACGUGUCCACAUUA